GAAAAUUUAAUAUAAAUCAACAGUUUCAUCGCUAUAUCAUCUAGGCCAUAGUUCCUCCACUAUAAUUCGCGAAUCUCUUUCCUCACGGACCCCCCUAUUCUAUCCGUAUCCUGCGAUACUGAUGAUUCUUCGUUCCCCCGAUGUGACCGAGGCCAAACGUCCUCCUUACCUUGCACUCGCACGUGGUGCACUUGUCAUUGGGAUCCUGCCAGGAGCUGCCACUGUCGUGGAUAAUCCCGGAGUAGCUACAGGGUCGUGGUCUGGUCAGUACAGAGAGGGAAGUGCCAUUUCCAGGCAAUUCUCUCGCGCAGGGAUCAUCUUCGCAACGAGGACAACAAUCCCCAUCCUCUGUCACAGGGUUCGAGCAGGUCACUGGUGGACACUCCAUCUGCCAGCAGUCUAUUUCGCCAUACUCGCUGUUACCAGGCAUUCGCAAGUCUGACACUGGUAUAUCCAUCGUUCGCCACUUCUGAAGACUAGGUGAUGAAGCUCUUGAUGUCUGCAAGAGGCUGCAGGAUCACAUUGCGGACAACAUUUGUCCCUAUGACUUCCAGGGGCGCUGCAGUCGCAUAUAGGGUCUUUGCAUGUGAUAACGCCAUCUUUACAAGUGCAUCUUCUGCAGGGAUUCCCAGCUGGCGCUAGAGUCUCUCCGUUUCUCACCUCUCGAUUCUCGAACCAGCAACCUGUCAAAGAUACAAGCAUUUUUAUUCUAUUUUAAAUAUUUCUCGAGCUCUUCUCAUUGAAAUUCAAUGAACAACGAGUAUUUUGUAUACUUGACAAAAAGUAAACAAUUCUUAAAAGA
Molecule: unclassified non-coding RNA, 802 nt
Filed under: Bombus terrestris (buff-tailed bumblebee)
Lineage: Eukaryota; Metazoa; Arthropoda; Insecta; Hymenoptera; Apidae
Description: misc RNA ENSBTSG00005035867.1
Source: RNAcentral